Schistosoma margrebowiei is the source of this 48-nucleotide non-coding RNA. NCBI's taxonomy places the organism in Eukaryota, Metazoa, Platyhelminthes, Trematoda, Strigeidida, Schistosomatidae. The record is from Rfam.
AUCCAGCUGAGGAGUCUCAAAUAAGACGAAACGCAGUUUGUCCUGGAU